GCUCGACGGGGAAGCGGUACAUCGCCCCAC
Molecule: small RNA, 30 nt
Filed under: Bombyx mori (domestic silkworm)
Lineage: Eukaryota; Metazoa; Arthropoda; Insecta; Lepidoptera; Bombycidae
Description: ovarian small RNA-2778
Source: RNAcentral